UUCCGCUGAGAAUAAAUUUAAGUAAAAAACAUGCACACACAGAUAAUAAUAAUAAUCAUGUUUCCAUAAAAUUGCUAAGUCCAGAGAUAAUACAUAAACAUAGUAGACUGUUCAUGACACAUAUCACGGUGGACAGUGUUUGUGUCCUUAUUACAAGCAACGAGAGAUGCUCGUCACCAACACGCGCGCGCACAGAUGCACGACAUACAUAUAGUAGAGACCAACAGAUGGUCGUCCCAUAUGGUGAACAAUUUAUUGGGGAUAAAUAUUAACGUAACUUGGCCAUAGCUUGAAGCAUAGCAACAUAUGCCUAUGAGUGGCAUUCAUGCUAUCGUUUUAGGCUUGUCCAGCUCCUUCCAUCUUAGCAAGCACUUCCAUUUCUACCAUCUUAGCAGCAACUGUCAAAUUGAGAUACGGAAAUCCCAUUAGCGCAUGAGUUAAUUUUGCAGUGGAAAUAGAGUACAAGAUGUCUUCAUGAUGUAAGUAAUAUGCCUGAAGUUGUGAGAUGGGAAGUGAAGUCAACAAAUUACAUUAACGGAAAUGCAUGGAAGGCCACACAUACGUAUUAGUCCAUGAUAUGCUACAAAGCUUGUAUGUACAUAUAGCAAAUUAAAUGCAUUAAUUGAAUAGAGUGUGUUUAGUGAAUUUACCAGAAUCGUCCAGAAAACAUGGGAAACAGCAAGUGUUCUUGCAGACUGCGUCGGAGGCACCCGCACGAAUACAAAGCUGACAACAUAGUUUUGCCUGGGCGGAUGCGCAGCAGCCGCACUCCGCCGCGGUGGGGUUAACAUUGAGGCUCAAGAUGACCAGGCACAUGAUCACCAUCAAAGUGGUAGUCCUCUUUCCCUCCAUUGCCUCCUCUUAGCUUGCUGCUACCUUCCUUGGUUACCUAGCUAAGUUUAUUGGUUUUGUGUUGAGAGGUGUGAUUUUUGAAUGGACGUUGCCGGCGGCAAUUUAUAGGCAGCUGAGCUAUGUGAUGAUAUGGACUAGGUGCAAAUGGGUGGUUAAUGGCAAGGAAAGGGGCGUCAGACAAAGCCCAAUGGCAACUGCUGACAUGCGAUUAAAUUCAGAUCCACAUCCGGCCAUUCAAUAAUACGGUUGGAGUUGUGGCACAGAUAUAUUAUUGCAUGAUCAUCAAGAUAAGAUCGUACAGUGACUGAGUGAGACAAUAAAUAGCCAAGUAAACUAUUUUAUCCUGCUGCAAGCUGCAUUCAUAAGUUUAUUUCACCUUUGAUCACAAUACUCUUCACACACGUACGUCUCAGGGAGAUCUCACUUCCGCUGGACUGCUCACUUCCGCUGUCGUCGGUACUGCCAAAGACAUAAGCUCACAUCUGCUAUUGCGGAGCAGGCCAAUUUGCUGCGGAACUUCGGCGACGACCUGAAGGACAUGAACUCGGUGCUGGAGUCCAUCUCAGCAGCGCUCUAGGACGCUGACACCGGUAGAAAAACGACCUUCCAUCGUCAACAAAAAUCCCGGUAGCUUUUUUACUCGGUACUAAAGAGGUUUUAAUCUCGUGCAAACACCUUUAGUCCAGAUUGCUAUUACCACGCAACCCGGACUAAAGCGUCCCCCGCGAGUUAGUAUAUAAGGAUUGCAUCCUUUACUCAGUCAGAUAUAAUAUGUAGGUGAGAUGGUAAGGAAGCUAUGCGUGAGGCUUCAGGUUGUGGGUUCGAAUCCAAGUGGGUGCAGCUGUGGCUUAAGCGGCUGAGGCACGCCGCCAUAGACAUCUCAGAUUUGCUCGAAGACUACCAAGACACUAGUGAACCCUUAACAGUAAAGGUGAGUACUUAUGAAUGUCAGCAUCCAUGUUGUCCAUGCUUCCAAUGUAAUAACAAGAUGGACUACUCUUCCUAGCGGACUCUUCACAACCACUCGUAAAGCUAUGCGUUUCUCAAUGCAAUUUCGUAGAAGCCAAUCGAUCCAACCAAGUGACUAAAUCAUUCGUCCUUUCCAAUGAUGUGCAUCAGGUUUUCUAUAUGAAGGGCAUGUCUAGCAAACCUAAGAUUUCAGAAGAAAAAGAAAAAUCAUUGGAGCCAAAGAGCCACAUAGUUCUUCUAGGAAAAAAAUCAUGGGAGUCGAGAACAUAUCAAACCAAUCAGGGGAUUAUGGUCAGCUUAAUGGCAUGCCUCCAUUCGAUGUCGAAGUUCACCCAAGCAUCAUGUUAGCCAAACAUCAAAUGUUCGUGCGUUGUUACGGUAAAGAUCAAUUGUGUUUUUUAAACUCUUGGAAUUUUUUUAUCUAAGUUUUUAUUUACACUUAUUGGAUGUCUACACAUUUGCUAGAAAACUAAAAUAAUUUGGACUUAAUUAUUUCUUUCAACUGAAGUACUCACUAAAUUUCUACCUUUUUAUUUAAGCAAGAGAGUUGCUAAAAAAAAUGGAUACGUAACCAUGUUGUAUCAUACAAAGUAACCACGUUUCACAUAUAGUCCGGCUUAGCAAACACCAUUGUUUUCUGAACAUAGCGUACAUGAGUUAACAGACAUGGAUUUAUUUCUAUUGCAAGUAGCAUAGCGUACAACCUGCCUGCACCGAUGCAGCUCAAUAUGCGAUAAUUUUUAUCUUCCCAUGUAAUUUUUCUACUCUAGUACAUAUUGAACUCCACAUUAAUGUCAUGUUCUUUCGCGCCCCAGAAGGUUCCUAAAGUUUGGAAACUUAAUAGAUAGCCAGAAUUUUUUUUAAAGAUAUUUAUAUGGAUACUUGUAUGUUCUUUCCAAACUAACAAUAUUGUUUACCAAUAUCAGAAGGAAUAUGGUUAGGAGCCAUUGCCGCAUAUGGCAGGUGAUGGUAGAUGGCGUAUGGGGUUUCGUUAAUUUAAUGGUAUAAUAAGCUGAAAUACAUUUUCUAUUUGCAAAUGAAUCAUAGCUGAAAUUGGUGGGAUUGUUUUUUCGCCGGUUUAGCAUCCUGUGCACCAGUUCAACCGGAGGGAAGCUGUUUUUUUUCUUUGGUUUUCCACCGGUUCACCGAGACCGAUGACAAUUUUAUGGCAGAAUCAUUACUUGUUUUACUAUUAGGUGAAGAUUUUAGCGUUUAGGUAUCUCACAUUAAACGCAACUUCAACAAUCUAUUUCUAGUGUAUAAUGUAGGAGACCCCGUAAAGAGUCUACACACACAUAUAUGUUGACUAUGAAUGUAAGUUUGUUGGUUUUAUGUAUGUUCGUUUGGAGUUUAUAUAAAUUUUACAUUUUAUAGUUUUGUGUAUAUGACGAAGAUCCAUGACUUGCAUUAAUUUAGCCUUUCUUCCAACAACUCUUAUGCAUGCUGUUUCUAGGCGAGCGUACUGGUUGCAAUUUUGGUCCCCGAUAUAGUGUGAGGACUUAAGGGACACGUGCAGGUCGUAACCUUAGAUAUUUUUGCUGAGAAUGGAUGAAGAAGCAAUAAUAUACUUUGCUUCUGAUUUUCUCCAUGUCAUUUGCUUACUCUUAUCCCUUUUAUUUAUCAUUAUAAGAUGAAAAUAUUGUAAAAACUUGGCUACGUGCGGUCGCAGAAGCUAGAGACUAAAGCGUCCCCCACGAGUUACUAUAUAAAAGGAUUGCAUCCUCUACUCAGUCAUAUGUACUGUGUAGGUGAGAUGGUAAGGAAGCUAUGUGUGAGGCUUGAGGUUGUAGGUUCGAAUCCCACGCACCGCGUGCGCAUGCGCAUAUUUUGCGUGAAAAAUCGCAUGACUUGUGGUCGGCCAAGGAGAAGUGCGUGCGGCUGAGGCACGCCGCCAUAGACAUCUCGGAUUUGCUCCAAGACUACCAAGACACUAGCGAACCCUUAACGGCAAAGUUGAGUACUUACGCGUGUUAGCAUCUAUGUUGUCCAUGCUUCCAAUGCAAUAACAAGAAGGGCUACUCAUCCUAGCGGAUUCUUCACAACCACUCGUAAAGCUAUGCGUUUCUCAAUGCAAUUUCGUAGAUGUCAAUCGAUCCAACCAAGCGACUGAAUCAUUCGUCCUUGCUAAUGAUGUGCAUCAGGUUUUCUAUAUGAAGAACAUGUCUAGCAAAUCCAAGAUUUCAGAAGAAAAAUAAAAAUCAUGAGAACCAAAGCACCACGUAGUUCUUCCAGGUAAAAAAAACAAUCAUCCACUGGGAUGACACACAGUAGCGAUCCAAAACGUCCAUAUUAAGACUUUUUGAUAGCAGAAAAAACAUGAAAAUGUCUAAUAUUUGUAGUAUUAAAAGGAAAAAUAAUAUAUUCACUUGACCUUUUUUUCGUAGCAACGCACCGGUGCGUAGUCAGACUUAGGCCACGUUUGGAUACUCCCUACUAAAGUUUAGCACCUGUCACAUAGGAUGUUUGGAUACUAAUUAGGAGUAUUAAACAUAGGCUAAUUAUAAAACUAAUUGAAUAGAUGGAGUCUAAUUUGCGAGACGAAUCUAUUAAGCCUAACUAGUCCAUGAUUUGACAAUGUGGUGCUACAGUAACCAUUUGCUAAUGGUGGAUUAAUUAGGCUUAAUAGAUUCGUCUCGCGAAUUAACAUAGGGUUCUGCAAUUAAUUUUAUAAUUAGCUCAUGUCUAGUCCUUCUAAUUAGCAUCCGAACAUCUGAUAUGAUACUGCUAAAGUUUAUCACCUAGUAUCCAAAUACCCCCUUAAUGCACGAUGCCUGUGCAUCCACUGGGCCUACCCUCGUGGAUCACGCGCUCGUGGAUCACGCGCACCAUGACAUGGCUCAUUAGCUAGUCGUGCUAAUCCUUACCACCAAAUUAAAAACUAGCAUGUGUUGUGUGUUUGUGACCCUAAACGACUACCACCUUCCCGAGUCCACCGGAGUUGCCAGUUCACCACUAAGCUGACUCUCCGAGCUUCAUGUCACUGUCACCGCUCCAAAGACCUAGAUCGGUUCGCUGUGCACCCCGCUUCGUCCUGAGCUAAAUCCCAUCACGAAAGGUGACCGGAUGCUCGUUUUCGAGCGAAUUCUAGCGAGAUUGCCACCACCUUUCCCCUUCCAGCCGAUCGCAGCUGUCUGAUCACAAACCGACAGCCCAGAUCGGAUUUGACCAGGUCAAUACCGGUCAAGCCGAGAUGCAUGCUGCUUUUGCAAGAAGGCCCCUAUUUUUCUCUCGUUUUGCACUUGAGGUCCUACGCAGUUCAAAAGUAAUUAGAUCUAGAUCCUUUUUCUUCUGUUUUAGCCCUGUUCUUUUAUAAAAUCCCACCCGCCAUCCUGUUUGGUAUUUUGACAUGUUAGACCUUCUAUUUAUAUGUUUAAUUAGGUUUUAGCCCUUGGUUUCUUUAAGUUUAGCUCUUGGAAGUUUAGUUUUCUCGCAGUUAAGCCCCUGAACCUUGUUUAGUUCAUAUCUUUAGCGUUUUAAAUCCGUUUUAAGAGAUUCUUACGCCCAUAAGUUCGUGUUGAUGCAUAGAUUAGUUGACUUAUACGGACCUUGCUGAUUCAGCUCCUUCAUUGUGCUUCAGAUCUCGCUAGUGAAGAAUAAUGGAUGGGCUUUGGUUGAGCUUGUAGAUCGACCUGCAGUUGCAGUGAAUGUGCUGAGGACUGGCGGUACCAAUAAUGGGAGGCCGCUGCUCUGCUUGCUACCAAGGCCUGCGACGCUUGGACGCCAUUCAGAGUGCAUAAUUUCCAAGGAUCUCAAGGGCUCCACACCACGUUCCAAGUGUUUUUUCUUUGCCGAGUGUUUUUAGCUCGGCACUUGGCAAAGAGCUUGUUUGCCGAGUGUCCGAAAAAAACACUUGGCAAAGAGAAAACACUCGGCAAAUUUGAUGUUUCCCGUAGUGAUGUACUAUUCAAACUUGAACUGGGAUGCAGGCUUCAGUACCAAAGAGAGCUCUGGGCGCGGGUGAGCAGUGAGCUGGCCGGGCAGGGAGCUCCAAAGCGACAGCAACAAAGAGAGAAAUGCUAAGAGUAAGAACGACACACGAGGUCACUUCACAUAGAUAAUAGCAGUACGAACCAUACAAUAUCCUCUCUCAGUUUCACUCCGCCUCACACACGGCUAGCACACCAUGCAUGCCGAUUUCAUAUUAUUAAUAUUAUUUUUUGGAUGGUUGUUGAAACUAUAUAUAUAGUUAGUCCAAUCUCACGUUUCCGAUUAUAAAAAUCAACGUAAAGAGAUCGGUAGGGAGAGCCGGCAUAAUGAAGCCGACGCGUGUAAUAAGCACCAGAGCCGGCAUUUAUACAAACUGGUACGAAUAGUAAAAAACUAGAAUUUAUAAAUAAAAAAAUGAUUUGCACAUCUAUGCAAUAAUUAGGGGUUAGUGGCAGGUCUAGAGAGAUAUCUCAUCAUUAUAUCCGGUUUAACGAGGAUAAAAAAGAGUGUAUUUUCCACUCAUCAUGUUGUCUUUUCGCAGCGGUACCACUUUUCGUGUGUUGUAUCGGUCCCCUAAUACGGAGUCUCCGAGGCCCGAGAAAAUAAGGAAAGUGAUAGUAGCCCAGAAAUCGGCCAAGUUUCUUUCCCCUUUGGCUUUCCUACUAGGAUUCAGAAUCCUCUUUCGCAUGACAAUCUUAAUUAUCUCCCAUACUCCAAAACUCACAAAAACAUCAAGAGUCCGCUGAGAAUAAAUUUAAGUAAAAAACAUGCACACACAGAUAAUAAUAAUAAUCAUGUUUCCAUAAAAUUGCUAAGUCCAGAGAUAAUACAUAAACAUAGUAGACUGUUCAUGACACAUAUCACGGUGGACAGUGUUUGUGUCCUUAUUACAAGCAACGAGAGAUGCUCGUCACCAACACGCGCGCGCACAGAUGCACGACAUACAUAUAGUAGAGACCAACAGAUGGUCGUCCCAUAUGGUGAACAAUUUAUUGGAGAUAAAUAUUAACGUAACUUGGCCAUAGCUUGAAGCAUAGCAACAUAUGCCUAUGAGUGGCAUUCAUGCUAUCGUUUUAGGCUUGUCCAGCUCCUUCCAUCUUAGCAAGCACUUCCAUUUCUACCAUCUUAGCAGCAACUGUCAAAUUGAGAUACGGAAAUCCCAUUAGCGCAUGAGUUAAUUUUGCAGUGGAAAUAGAGUACAAGAUGUCUUCAUGAUGUAAGUAAUAUGCCUGAAGUUGUGAGAUGGGAAGUGAAGUCAACAAAUUACAUUAACGGAAAUGCAUGGAAGGCCACACAUACGUAUUAGUCCAUGAUAUGCUACAAAGCUUGUAUGUACAUAUAGCAAAUUAAAUGCAUUAAUUGAAUAGAGUGUGUUUAGUGAAUUUACCAGAAUCGUCCAGAAAACAUGGGAAACAGCAAGUGUUCUUGCAGACUGCGUCGGAGGCACCCGCACGAAUACAAAGCUGACAACAUAGUUUUGCCUGGGCGGAUGCGCAGCAGCCGCACUCCGCCGCGGUGGGGUUAACAUUGAGGCUCAAGAUGACCAGGCACAUGAUCACCAUCAAAGUGGUAGUCCUCUUUCCCUCCAUUGCCUCCUCUUAGCUUGCUGCUACCUUCCUUGGUUACCUAGCUAAGUUUAUUGGUUUUGUGUUGAGAGGUGUGAUUCUUGAAUGGACGUUGCCGGCGGCAAUUUAUAGGCAGCUGAGCUAUGUGAUGAUAUGGACUAGGUGCAAAUGGGUGGUUAAUGGCAAGGAAAGGGGCGUCAGACAAAGCCCAAUGGCAACUGCUGACAUGCGAUUAAAUUCAGAUCCACAUCCGGCCAUUCAAUAAUACGGUUGGAGUUGUGGCACAGAUAUAUUAUUGCAUGAUCAUCAAGAUAAGAUCGUACAGUGACUGAGUGAGACAAUAAAUAGCCAAGUAAACUAUUUUAUCCUGCUGCAAGCUGCAUUCAUAAGUUUAUUUCACCUUUGAUCACAAUACUCUUCACACACGUACGUCUCAGGGAGAUCUCACUUCCGCUGGACUGCUCACUUCCGCUGUCGUCGGUACUGCCAAAGACAUAAGCUCACAUCUGCUAUUGCGGAGCAGGCCAAUUUGCUGCGGAACUUCGGCGACGACCUGAAGGACAUGAACUCGGUGCUGGAGUCCAUCUCAGCAGCGCUCUAGGACGCUGACACCGGUAGAAAAACGACCUUCCAUCGUCAACAAAAAUCCCGGUAGCUUUUUUACUCGGUACUAAAGAGGUUUUAAUCUCGUGCAAACACCUUUAGUCCAGAUUGCUAUUACCACGCAACCCGGACUAAAGCGUCCCCCGCGAGUUAGUAUAUAAGGAUUGCAUCCUUUACUCAGUCAGAUAUAAUAUGUAGGUGAGAUGGUAAGGAAGCUAUGCGUGAGGCUUCAGGUUGUGGGUUCGAAUCCAAGUGGGUGCAGCUGUGGCUUAAGCGGCUGAGGCACGCCGCCAUAGACAUCUCAGAUUUGCUCGAAGACUACCAAGACACUAGUGAACCCUUAACAGUAAAGGUGAGUACUUAUGAAUGUCAGCAUCCAUGUUGUCCAUGCUUCCAAUGUAAUAACAAGAUGGACUACUCUUCCUAGCGGACUCUUCACAACCACUCGUAAAGCUAUGCGUUUCUCAAUGCAAUUUCGUAGAAGCCAAUCGAUCCAACCAAGUGACUAAAUCAUUCGUCCUUUCCAAUGAUGUGCAUCAGGUUUUCUAUAUGAAGGGCAUGUCUAGCAAACCUAAGAUUUCAGAAGAAAAAGAAAAAUCAUUGGAGCCAAAGAGCCACAUAGUUCUUCUAGGAAAAAAAUCAUGGGAGUCGAGAACAUAUCAAACCAAUCAGGGGAUUAUGGUCAGCUUAAUGGCAUGCCUCCAUUCGAUGUCGAAGUUCACCCAAGCAUCAUGUUAGCCAAACAUCAAAUGUUCGUGCGUUGUUACGGUAAAGAUCAAUUGUGUUUUUUAAACUCUUGGAAUUUUUUUAUCUAAGUUUUUAUUUACACUUAUUGGAUGUCUACACAUUUGCUAGAAAACUAAAAUAAUUUGGACUUAAUUAUUUCUUUCAACUGAAGUACUCACUAAAUUUCUACCUUUUUAUUUAAGCAAGAGAGUUGCUAAAAAAAAUGGAUACGUAACCAUGUUGUAUCAUACAAAGUAACCACGUUUCACAUAUAGUCCGGCUUAGCAAACACCAUUGUUUUCUGAACAUAGCGUACAUGAGUUAACAGACAUGGAUUUAUUUCUAUUGCAAGUAGCAUAGCGUACAACCUGCCUGCACCGAUGCAGCUCAAUAUGCGAUAAUUUUUAUCUUCCCAUGUAAUUUUUCUACUCUAGUACAUAUUGAACUCCACAUUAAUGUCAUGUUCUUUCGCGCCCCAGAAGGUUCCUAAAGUUUGGAAACUUAAUAGAUAGCCAGAAUUUUUUUUAAAGAUAUUUAUAUGGAUACUUGUAUGUUCUUUCCAAACUAACAAUAUUGUUUACCAAUAUCAGAAGGAAUAUGGUUAGGAGCCAUUGCCGCAUAUGGCAGGUGAUGGUAGAUGGCGUAUGGGGUUUCGUUAAUUUAAUGGUAUAAUAAGCUGAAAUACAUUUUCUAUUUGCAAAUGAAUCAUAGCUGAAAUUGGUGGGAUUGUUUUUUCGCCGGUUUAGCAUCCUGUGCACCAGUUCAACCGGAGGGAAGCUGUUUUUUUUCUUUGGUUUUCCACCGGUUCACCGAGACCGAUGACAAUUUUAUGGCAGAAUCAUUACUUGUUUUACUAUUAGGUGAAGAUUUUAGCGUUUAGGUAUCUCACAUUAAACGCAACUUCAACAAUCUAUUUCUAGUGUAUAAUGUAGGAGACCCCGUAAAGAGUCUACACACACAUAUAUGUUGACUAUGAAUGUAAGUUUGUUGGUUUUAUGUAUGUUCGUUUGGAGUUUAUAUAAAUUUUACAUUUUAUAGUUUUGUGUAUAUGACGAAGAUCCAUGACUUGCAUUAAUUUAGCCUUUCUUCCAACAACUCUUAUGCAUGAUGUUUCUAGGCGAGCGUACUGGUUGCAAUUUUGGUCCCCGAUAUAGUGUGAGGACUUAAGGGACACGUGCAGGUCGUAACCUUAGAUAUUUUUGCUGAGAAUGGAUGAAGAAGCAAUAAUAUACUUUGCUUCUGAUUUUCUCCAUGUCAUUUGCUUACUCUUAUCCCUUUUAUUUAUCAUUAUAAGAUGAAAAUAUUGUAAAAACUUGGCUACGUGCGGUCGCAGAAGCUAGAGACUAAAGCGUCCCCCACGAGUUACUAUAUAAAAGGAUUGCAUCCUCUACUCAGUCAUAUGUACUGUGUAGGUGAGAUGGUAAGGAAGCUAUGUGUGAGGCUUGAGGUUGUAGGUUCGAAUCCCACGCACCGCGUGCGCAUGCGCAUAUUUUGCGUGAAAAAUCGCAUGACUUGUGGUCGGCCAAGGAGAAGUGCGUGCGGCUGAGGCACGCCGCCAUAGACAUCUCGGAUUUGCUCCAAGACUACCAAGACACUAGCGAACCCUUAACGGCAAAGUUGAGUACUUACGCGUGUUAGCAUCUAUGUUGUCCAUGCUUCCAAUGCAAUAACAAGAAGGGCUACUCAUCCUAGCGGAUUCUUCACAACCACUCGUAAAGCUAUGCGUUUCUCAAUGCAAUUUCGUAGAUGUCAAUCGAUCCAACCAAGCGACUGAAUCAUUCGUCCUUGCUAAUGAUGUGCAUCAGGUUUUCUAUAUGAAGAACAUGUCUAGCAAAUCCAAGAUUUCAGAAGAAAAAUAAAAAUCAUGAGAACCAAAGCACCACGUAGUUCUUCCAGGUAAAAAAAACAAUCAUCCACUGGGAUGACACACAGUAGCGAUCCAAAACGUCCAUAUUAAGACUUUUUGAUAGCAGAAAAAACAUGAAAAUGUCUAAUAUUUGUAGUAUUAAAAGGAAAAAUAAUAUAUUCACUUGACCUUUUUUUCGUAGCAACGCACCGGUGCGUAGUCAGACUUAGGCCACGUUUGGAUACUCCCUACUAAAGUUUAGCACCUGUCACAUAGGAUGUUUGGAUACUAAUUAGGAGUAUUAAACAUAGGCUAAUUAUAAAACUAAUUGAACAGAUGGAGUCUAAUUUGCGAGACGAAUCUAUUAAGCCUAACUAGUCCAUGAUUUGACAAUGUGGUGCUACAGUAACCAUUUGCUAAUGGUGGAUUAAUUAGGCUUAAUAGAUUCGUCUCGCGAAUUAACAUAGGGUUCUGCAAUUAAUUUUAUAAUUAGCUCAUGUCUAGUCCUUCUAAUUAGCAUCCGAACAUCUGAUAUGAUACUGCUAAAGUUUAUCACCUAGUAUCCAAAUACCCCCUUAAUGCACGAUGCCUGUGCAUCCACUGGGCCUACCCUCGUGGAUCACGCGCUCGUGGAUCACGCGCACCAUGACAUGGCUCAUUAGCUAGUCGUGCUAAUCCUUACCACCAAAUUAAAAACUAGCAUGUGUUGUGUGUUUGUGACCCUAAACGACUACCACCUUCCCGAGUCCACCGGAGUUGCCAGUUCACCACUAAGCUGACUCUCCGAGCUUCAUGUCACUGUCACCGCUCCAAAGACCUAGAUCGGUUCGCUGUGCACCCCGCUUCGUCCUGAGCUAAAUCCCAUCACGAAAGGUGACCGGAUGCUCGUUUUCGAGCGAAUUCUAGCGAGAUUGCCACCACCUUUCCCCUUCCAGCCGAUCGCAGCUGUCUGAUCACAAACCGACAGCCCAGAUCGGAUUUGACCAGGUCAAUACCGGUCAAGCCGAGAUGCAUGCUGCUUUUGCAAGAAGGCCCCUAUUUUUCUCUCUUUUUGCACUUGAGGUCCUACGCAGUUCAAAAGUAAUUAGAUCUAGAUCCUUUUUCUUCUGUUUUAGCCCUGUUCUUUUAUAAAAUCCCACCCGCCAUCCUGUUUGGUAUUUUGACAUGUUAGACCUUCUAUUUAUAUGUUUAAUUAGGUUUUAGCCCUUGGUUUCUUUAAGUUUAGCUCUUGGAAGUUUAGUUUUCUCGCAGUUAAGCCCCUGAACCUUGUUUAGUUCAUAUCUUUAGCGUUUUAAAUCCGUUUUAAGAGAUUCUUACGCCCAUAAGUUCGUGUUGAUGCAUAGAUUAGUUGACUUAUACGGACCUUGCUGAUUCAGCUCCUUCAUUGUGCUUCAGAUCUCGCUAGUGAAGAAUAAUGGAUGGGCUUUGGUUGAGCUUGUAGAUCGACCUGCAGUUGCAGUGAAUGUGCUGAGGACUGGCGGUACCAAUAAUGGGAGGCCGCUGCUCUGCUUGCUACCAAGGCCUGCGACGCUUGGACGCCAUUCAGAGUGCAUAAUUUCCAAGGAUCUCAAGGGCUCCACACCACGUUCCAAGUGUUUUUUCUUUGCCGAGUGUUUUUAGCUCGGCACUUGGCAAAGAGCUUGUUUGCCGAGUGUCCGAAAAAAACACUUGGCAAAGAGAAAACACUCGGCAAAUUUGAUGUUUCCCGUAGUGAUGUACUAUUCAAACUUGAACUGGGAUGCAGGCUUCAGUACCAAAGAGAGCUCUGGGCGCGGGUGAGCAGUGAGCUGGCCGGGCAGGGAGCUCCAAAGCGACAGCAACAAAGAGAGAAAUGCUAAGAGUAAGAACGACACACGAGGUCACUUCACAUAGAUAAUAGCAGUACGAACCAUACAAUAUCCUCUCUCAGUUUCACUCCGCCUCACACACGGCUAGCACACCAUGCAUGCCGAUUUCAUAUUAUUAAUAUUAUUUUUUGGAUGGUUGUUGAAACUAUAUAUAUAGUUAGUCCAAUCUCACGUUUCCGAUUAUAAAAAUCAACGUAAAGAGAUCGGUAGGGAGAGCCGGCAUAAUGAAGCCGACGCGUGUAAUAAGCACCAGAGCCGGCAUUUAUACAAACUGGUACGAAUAGUAAAAAACUAGAAUUUAUAAAUAAAAAAAUGAUUUGCACAUCUAUGCAAUAAUUAGGGGUUAGUGGCAGGUCUAGAGAGAUAUCUCAUCAUUAUAUCCGGUUUAACGAGGAUAAAAAAGAGUGUAUUUUCCACUCAUCAUGUUGUCUUUUCGCAGCGGUACCACUUUUCGUGUGUUGUAUCGGUCCCCUAAUACGGAGUCUCCGAGGCCCGAGAAAAUAAGGAAAGUGAUAGUAGCCCAGAAAUCGGCCAAGUUUCUUUCCCCUUUGGCUUUCCUACUAGGAUUCAGAAUCCUCUUUCGCAUGACAAUCUUAAUUAUCUCCCAUACUCCAAAACUCACAAAAACAUCAAGAGUCCGCUGAGAAUAAAUUUAAGUAAAAAACAUGCACACACAGAUAAUAAUAAUAAUCAUGUUUCCAUAAAAUUGCUAAGUCCAGAGAUAAUACAUAAACAUAGUAGACUGUUCAUGACACAUAUCACGGUGGACAGUGUUUGUGUCCUUAUUACAAGCAACGAGAGAUGCUCGUCACCAACACGCGCGCGCACAGAUGCACGACAUACAUAUAGUAGAGACCAACAGAUGGUCGUCCCAUAUGGUGAACAAUUUAUUGGAGAUAAAUAUUAACGUAACUUGGCCAUAGCUUGAAGCAUAGCAACAUAUGCCUAUGAGUGGCAUUCAUGCUAUCGUUUUAGGCUUGUCCAGCUCCUUCCAUCUUAGCAAGCACUUCCAUUUCUACCAUCUUAGCAGCAACUGUCAAAUUGAGAUACGGAAAUCCCAUUAGCGCAUGAGUUAAUUUUGCAGUGGAAAUAGAGUACAAGAUGUCUUCAUGAUGUAAGUAAUAUGCCUGAAGUUGUGAGAUGGGAAGUGAAGUCAACAAAUUACAUUAACGGAAAUGCAUGGAAGGCCACACAUACGUAUUAGUCCAUGAUAUGCUACAAAGCUUGUAUGUACAUAUAGCAAAUUAAAUGCAUUAAUUGAAUAGAGUGUGUUUAGUGAAUUUACCAGAAUCGUCCAGAAAACAUGGGAAACAGCAAGUGUUCUUGCAGACUGCGUCGGAGGCACCCGCACGAAUACAAAGCUGACAACAUAGUUUUGCCUGGGCGGAUGCGCAGCAGCCGCACUCCGCCGCGGUGGGGUUAACAUUGAGGCUCAAGAUGACCAGGCACAUGAUCACCAUCAAAGUGGUAGUCCUCUUUCCCUCCAUUGCCUCCUCUUAGCUUGCUGCUACCUUCCUUGGUUACCUAGCUAAGUUUAUUGGUUUUGUGUUGAGAGGUGUGAUUCUUGAAUGGACGUUGCCGGCGGCAAUUUAUAGGCAGCUGAGCUAUGUGAUGAUAUGGACUAGGUGCAAAUGGGUGGUUAAUGGCAAGGAAAGGGGCGUCAGACAAAGCCCAAUGGCAACUGCUGACAUGCGAUUAAAUUCAGAUCCACAUCCGGCCAUUCAAU
This 14061-nucleotide long non-coding RNA is filed under the name Setaria viridis. RNAcentral describes it as "long non-coding RNA (SVIR_LNC010032)". The record is from RNAcentral. Lineage: Eukaryota; Viridiplantae; Streptophyta; Magnoliopsida; Poales; Poaceae.